This 1293-nucleotide ribosomal RNA is filed under the name Latinozoros sp. 2 IH-2020. RNAcentral describes it as "SSU rRNA". It matches the Rfam family "Eukaryotic small subunit ribosomal RNA", at positions 583 to 1811 of the family's 1831-position model. Lineage: Eukaryota; Metazoa; Arthropoda; Insecta; Zoraptera; Spiralizoridae. The record is from RNAcentral.
UUCCAGCUCCGAUAGCAUAUACUAAUGUUGUUGCGGUUAAAAAGCUCGUAGUCUGAGUUGUGUCCCGCGCUGCCGGUCCACAGACUGUCUGUGCUGACUGCGCACGUCGCGAGGACGUCCUGGCCGGACGCGGUGUAACCGAAGUGCCGUCCGUUGCAUAGGUUCGCCCUGUGCACGGCGGUUCCUAGGCGAGCCGCAAUUGAGGUCCCGACCUGGUGCUCUUAAUCGAGUGCCUAGGAGGGCCGGCACUCUUACUUUGAACAAACUCGAGUGCUCAAAGCUGGCCUUCUGGCCUAGACGCUGUGUGCAUGGAAUAAUGGAAUAGGACUUCGGUUCUAUUUGGUUGGUUCUACGGAUCGAAGUAAUGAUCAAAAGGAGCAGGCGGGGGCAUUCGUACUGCGACGUUAGAGGUGAAAUUCUUAGAUCGUCGCAAGACGGACAUAAGCGAAAGCAUUUGCCAAGGAUGUUUUCACUGAUCAAGAGCGAAAGUUGGAGGAUCGAAGGCGAUCAGAUACCGCCCUAGUUCUAACUAUAAAUGAUGCCAGCCAGCUAUGCGCCGAAGUCGCUUUUGACUCGGUGCGAAGCUUCCGGGAAACCAGAGCUUUCAGGUUCCGGGGGAAGUAUGGUUGCAAAGCUGAAACUUAAAGGAAUUGACGGAAGGGCACCACCAGGAGUGGAGCCUGCGGCUUAAUUUGACUCAACACGGGAAAACUUACCAGGGCAGGACAUAAGCAGGAUUGACAGAUUGAAGAUCUUUCUUGAUUUUGUGGAUGGUGGUGCAUGGCCGUUCUUAGUUCGUGGAAUGGUUCGUCUGGUUAAUUCCGAUAACGGACAAGACUCUAACCUGCUAAAUAGUCCAAAUUGAGAUCCCUUCGGGGCUAUCUGAGAUAAAACCUUCUUAGAGGAAACAGCGGCUCCGAGUCGCAUGAUAUAGAGCAAUAACAGGUCUGUAAUGCCCUUAGAUGUCCUGGGCCGCACGCGUGCUACAAUGAAGGAAGCAGCGUGAGAAAUCCUAGGCCGAGAGGUCCGGGUAAUCAGCUCAAACUCUUUCAUGCAGGGGAUAGGGGCUUGCAAUUGACCCCUUGAACAAGGAAUUCCCAGUAGGCGCGAGUCAAGAGCUCGCGUCGAUCGAGUCCCUGCCCUUUGUACACACCGCCCGUCGCUACUUCCGAUUGAAUGGUCUAGUGAGGUCUCCGGACCGAUGCUACAGGUUCAAAAGAUCUUAGCUUUGGGAGGCUGACCAAACUUGCUCGUUUAGAGGAAGUAAAAGUCGUAACAAGGUUUCCGUAGGUG